UACGGGGGGGGGCAAGCGUUUGUUCGGAAUUACUGGGCGUAAAGGGCGCGUAGGCGGCCUUCUAAGUCGGACGUGAAAUCCCUCGGCUUAACCGAGGAACUGCGUCCGAUACUGAAAGGCUUGAAUCCGGGAGAGGGAUGUGGAAUUCCAGGUGUAGCGGUGAAAUGCGUAGAUAUCUGGAGGAACACCGGUGGCGAAGGCGGCAUCCUGGACCGGUAUUGACGCGUGAGGCGCGAAAGCUAGGGGAGCAAACGGGG
RNAcentral lists this ribosomal RNA (257 nucleotides) under uncultured bacterium. Its description in RNAcentral is "partial 16S ribosomal RNA". It matches the Rfam family "Bacterial small subunit ribosomal RNA", at positions 524 to 777 of the family's 1533-position model. The record is from RNAcentral.